AUGGGCUCCAUGCUCUUCGGUUGGCUGGCCUUUUGUCUCCUGGUGGCAGGUCCAGUCAACCCUAAAAUUAUCCAGAAACCAAAACAUCUGGUGGCAGUCACAGGGAGUGAGAGAAUCCUGAUAUGCGAACAAUAUCUAGGCCACAAUGCUAUGUAUUGGUAUAGGCAAAGUGCUGAGAAGUCCAUAGAGCUCAUGUUUUCCUAUAACUAUCAAAAACUUGUUGACAAUCAGACUGUCCCAAGUCGAUUCCAACCUCACAAUUCACAGAAAACCUACUUAGACCUUCAGAUCACAGCCCUACAGCCUGACGACGCAGCUACAUACUUCUGUGCCAGUAGCCAAGACACAGCCCUUUAG
Arvicanthis niloticus (Nile rat) is the source of this 357-nucleotide non-coding RNA. NCBI's taxonomy places the organism in Eukaryota, Metazoa, Chordata, Mammalia, Rodentia, Muridae. The record is from the annotation of a RefSeq genome assembly.